This 179-nucleotide unclassified non-coding RNA is filed under the name uncultured fungus. RNAcentral describes it as "sequence contains ITS1". Lineage: Eukaryota; Fungi. The record is from RNAcentral.
AAGAGUUUAGGGUCUCUGGCCCGAACCUCCAACCCUCUGUUGUUAAAACUACCUUGUUGCUUUGGCGGGACCGUUCGGUUCCGAGCGCGCCGGUCCUCCCGGACAGGCGAGCGCCCGCCAGAGUCUACUCAAACUCUUGUUUUUAACCGGUCGUCUGAGUUAAAUUUUUAAUUAAAUUA